GGCUCCGUGGCGCAACUGAAUAGCGCAUCAGAUUUCGGCUCUGAGGGUUGGGGGUUUGAAUCCCUCCGGGGUCACAA
Molecule: transfer RNA, 77 nt
Filed under: Leeuwenhoekiella palythoae
Lineage: Bacteria; Pseudomonadati; Bacteroidota; Flavobacteriia; Flavobacteriales; Flavobacteriaceae
Also listed under: 2 other names
Description: tRNA_Arg_TCG
Rfam family: tRNA
About the family: Transfer RNA (tRNA) molecules are approximately 80 nucleotides in length.
Source: RNAcentral